RNAcentral lists this unclassified non-coding RNA (255 nucleotides) under Hevea brasiliensis (rubber tree). The record is from RNAcentral. Lineage: Eukaryota; Viridiplantae; Streptophyta; Magnoliopsida; Malpighiales; Euphorbiaceae.
AGUCCUCUGCAGACAACCUCUUGCCUAAGGAGCCUGAUGCAGAUAAAACUGAUACAACUGGCAAGUUAAGAUUACACAUUGUUGAGGUGAGUCAAGAGCAAGAGCCUUCUCUGCUGCAAGAAGAAGAGGAGAAACCUCUGGAGACCGAAGGGAAUAAGGGAGACGAAAGUGUGUCUCAUUCAUCUCUCAGAGAAUCUGUGAUGGAAACAGAUGAUAUUGAAAUUGAUAAGUCAGAGAAAGAAGCUCCAAAAGAGA